UGAGGAAUAUUGGUCAAUGGACGCAAGUCUGAACCAGCCAUGCCGCGUGAAGGAUGAAGGCCUUCUGGGUUGUAAACUUCUUUUAUUGGGGAAGAAAAUUACGGUUUCUACUGUAACCGACGGUACCCAAGGAAUCAGCACCGGCUAACUCCGUGCCAGCAGCCGCGGUAAUACGGAGGGUGCAAGCGUUAUCCGGAUUCACUGGGUUUAAAGGGUGUGUAGGCGGGCUGUUAAGUCAGUGGUGAAAUCUCCGGGCUCAACCCGGAAACUGCCAUUGAUACUAUCAGUCUUGAAUUUUGUUGAGGUAGGCGGAAUAUAUCAUGUAGCGGUGAAAUGCAUAGAUAUGAUAUAGAACACCGAUUGCGAAGGCAGCUUGCUAAACAAAUAUUGACGCUGAGGCACGAAAGCGUGGGGAUCAAACAG
Molecule: ribosomal RNA, 423 nt
Filed under: uncultured bacterium
Lineage: Bacteria
Description: bacterial SSU rRNA
Rfam family: Bacterial small subunit ribosomal RNA
Source: RNAcentral